This 331-nucleotide ribosomal RNA is filed under the name uncultured eukaryote. Its description in RNAcentral is "partial 18S ribosomal RNA". It matches the Rfam family "Eukaryotic small subunit ribosomal RNA", at positions 1470 to 1796 of the family's 1831-position model. The record is from RNAcentral.
CCCUUAGAUGUUCUGGGCCGCACGCGUGCUACACUGAGUGGAUCAGCGGGUCAGGUUGCGCGAAAGCGUUUCCUAAUCUUUAAAUCCGCUCGUGAUGGGGAUUGACGGUUGCAAUUUUCUGUCAUGAACGAGGAAUUCCCAGUAGGCGCGAGUCAUCAGCUCGCGUCGAUUACGUCCCUGCCCUUUGUACACACCGCCCGUCGCUACUACCGAUCGGAUGGUUUAGUGAGACCCUCGGACUGGUCCCGCUGUCGGACAGGCAACUGUUUGCAGCGCGUGCGCCGGGAAGAAGGUCGAACUUGACUAUCUAGAGGAAGUAAAAGUCGUAACA